UUAUCCAGCAAUGGAUAACUGAGUGGCGAACGGGUGAGUAACACGUGGGUGACCUACCUUCGAGUGGGGGAUAACGUCCCGAAAGGGACGCUAAUACCGCAUAACAUCCUGCCUUUGAACAGGCGGUGAUCAAAGCCGGGGACCGUAAGGCCCGGCGCUUGAUGAGGGGCUCGCGUCUGAUUAGCUAGUUGGUGAGGUAACGGCCCACCAAGGCGACGAUCAGUAUCCGGCCUGAGAGGGCGGACGGACACACUGGGACUGAGACACGGCCCAGACUCCUACGGGAGGCAGCAGUGGGGAAUUGUUCACAAUGGGCGCAAGCCUGAUGACGCAACGCCGCGUGGAGGAUGAAGGUCUUCGGA
Molecule: ribosomal RNA, 362 nt
Filed under: uncultured bacterium
Lineage: Bacteria
Description: bacterial SSU rRNA
Rfam family: Bacterial small subunit ribosomal RNA
Source: RNAcentral